GACGAACGCUGGCGGCGUGCUUAACACAUGCAAGUCGAGCGGUAAGGCCCUUUCGGGGGUACACGAGCGGCGAACGGGUGAGUAACACGUGGGUGACCUGCCCUCAGCUCUGGGAUAAGCCCGGGAAACUGGGUCUAAUACUGGAUAUGACUCCAUGACGCAUGUUGUGGGGUGGAAAGCCUUGUGCGGCUGGGGAUGGGCCCGCGGCCUAUCAGCUUGUUGGUGGGGUGAUGGCCUACCAAGGCGACGACGGGUAGCCGGCCUGAGAGGGCGACCGGCCACACUGGGACUGAGACACGGCCCAGACUCCUACGGGAGGCAGCAGUGGGGAAUCUUGCGCAAUGGGACGAAAAGCCUGACGCAGCGACGCCGCGUGAGGGAUGACGGCCUGU
This 392-nucleotide ribosomal RNA is filed under the name uncultured bacterium. RNAcentral describes it as "bacterial SSU rRNA". It matches the Rfam family "Bacterial small subunit ribosomal RNA", at positions 28 to 419 of the family's 1533-position model. The record is from RNAcentral.